This is a long non-coding RNA of Orcinus orca (killer whale), 1848 nucleotides long. RefSeq lists it as uncharacterized. The record is from RefSeq and is a predicted model, not a curated record. The transcript is spliced from 4 exons. Lineage: Eukaryota; Metazoa; Chordata; Mammalia; Artiodactyla; Delphinidae.
ACCUGAAAUUCUGAGUUUGGUAACCAUUAGCAUAGAAGGAAAACUUAACACCGUGAAAUCUCUUUUAAGAGAGGAAAGCAGGGUAAUAUAGUGGCAAAUGGCUGGGGAGAAGUGAAAAAUGAUGAUGCGGGGAAGGUUCGGAGGGUAUCAUAAAACCAGAGAGCCCCAAAGUCCAGCUGUUCUACGAUGUGGUGUACAGUGGGGGAGAGGGCUCUAUCCUCUACCUUGGUUCCUUCAGUGUGGCACCUCCACUCAGUAUUCCCAAAGCCUGGUAGCCAAGGAACAAGGAGGAUAGAAGGGAGGUGAGAGGAAUGUUGUAAAUGCGCUUAGAUUUCUUUUUGCACUUUGACACACAUAAUCUCAUUGUCUUUUCUGAGAGUGGAUGGCCGAAGGUACCAGAGCUAUUAAUGGAGCUUCUGUGAAUGCCUGAGGCAACAACAGAGGUAAGCUUUUUCCAGGUCCUACCAACCUGCCGGUUGAGGCCCCUGCAGUGCACAGAGAAGGGUGGGGAAGGGACCGCGGUCCCCCUCCCCCCUCUCCCUACUCCCUCAUCCCCAGCUGCACACAGACCACGGCCUCAUCCCAGGGAGGGAAAGGCCACUCCCCGCCUAUCAUCUCUCUUGAGUCUCCACCAGCCUGGUGGGAGGAGAAGGGGCAGCAGGGAUGUCUCCUCUGCAGCUGCUGUUCACACAGAACAGGACGGUCCCUCUCCCGUCUCACCCUGGGUCUCCAGCUAAGGAUCCUUUAAAGUAAUCUUGAACAUUAGAAAAUACAGUGAAGGUGGCAAAGAGAAGAGAGCCUUGUCUACGCUCGGUGUUCUGUGGACGUCUGGAUGAUUGAUAGUCCGACACUUGACAGAAAAGGACUUCCCUGGUGGUGCAGUGGUUAAGAAUCCGCCUGCCAAUACAGGAGACACGGGUUCGAGCCCUGGUCCGGGAAGAUGCCAUAUGCCACAGAGCAACUAAGCCCGUGCGCCACAACUACUGAAGCCUGCACGCCCUAGAUCCUGUGCUCCACAACGAGAAGCCACCACAUUGAAAAGGCUGCACCACAACGAAGAGUAACCCCUGCUCGCCACAACUUGAGAAAGCCCGUGCGCAGCAACAAAGACCCAAUGCAGCCAAAAAUAAAAUAAAUAAAUAAAUUUAUAAAAUAAAUAAAUAAAUAAAAUUUGUUUAUCUAUUUUCACUUUGGAAACAGAAAGUGCUGUCUUUAGAAAGGAGCAGAUACCAGUCUAUGUGCCAAACCUGGGUACGUGCCUUCUCUUUAAUAGCUGGCCUUAAACAGGCCCUUUUCAUACUUCAGAACAGAUUGCCAUGGUGAUCUCGAUAAAGACCUAACCCUAGUCAGAUAGGAAAUACUGAACUCUGCAUUUUGAACCAUUCAGGUGGCUUAGGAGAUGCUCAAUCAACUAUCUCCAAAGAAAAUCCAUGGAAACCACUCAAAUGAUGUUGCCAUUUUGUUUCCAAGAUUAUUGUCUCCAUCUGAAGAUUCUUCUAUGUUCUCGGGCCAAACCUAAGUCAUAAUAGGCUGAGGGUCAGACCCAGAGAAGAGGUGGGCUGAGGAAAAGAAACAAGGAGCAACGUCAAACAGAAAUGGGGAAGUGCAUUCCUGAUCGUGGGUCUCUAGCGGCUCAUUGGCUUUAGGGGUUGCCAAGCCAGGGACCUCACUCUUCAGAUUUGUCAAAGUGGCAGGGGACCUGGGCUGGUCCUGGAAGAAGUCUCUUCAUCCACAGCCAUCAUAGCUGACAGCUCCUUCAAAAUUAAAGAGUCUUAGGAAGAGUAGCAGUUCAUAAGGAGAAGCAUGAAUGAAUUUAUGUUCUACUAAAAAAAAAAAAAAGAAAGACAA